UCUGAGUUCAAACCUGUCGCACCUGAAAGAACUGGAUCUGACCUACAAUCACCCAGGAGAGUCAGGCGUGAAGGUGCUCUCAGCUAGACUGGAGGAUCCACAAUGCACACUACGAACUCUCAGCCCCGGAUGUGCACCUCUAACUGAUUCACCUUCUCCACCAGAGUAGAAGUUAACUGGCACUUCUCACAAACUGAACGACUGUUAUCACUAGUGCUGGAGAGAGGAUUAUCACUAUACAUGCCACAAUCCACACAAGUAAAGACAGCCAUAGUAGAAGAUAGAGAUUGGAACAUGGAGAUGAAAACAGAAUGAAACCAGGACUGAAGAAAUAUUCCUGUGACUUCACUCUGGAUCCAAACACAGUGAACAGAUUUCUCUCUCUGACUGACGGGAACAGGAAGGUGGAGUAUAAGUGGGUUGAUCACUCAUAUCCUGAUCAUCCAGAGAGAUUUGAUUGGUGUUGUCAGGUUCUGUGUAGAGAGAAUCUGACUGGACGCUGUUACUGGGAGGCCGAGUGGAGCGGAGAUGUUGAAAUAGCAGUAACAUAUAAAUCAAUCAGGAGGAAAGGAGACAGUCCAGACUGUCUGUUUGGACUGAAUGAAAAGUCCUGGAGUCUGUACUGCUCUAAUAAAAGUUACUCUGUCCGUCACAAUAAUAACAUCACUAAACUCUCUGGUCGGCCGUCCAGUAAGAGAGUAGGAGUGUAUGUGGACUGUCCGGCCGGCUCUCUGUCCUUCUACAGCGUCUCUGAUGAUCAAAGACUGACGCACCUUCACACGUUCAACACCACAUUCCCUGAACCGCUCUGCGCUGGGUUUUUUAUUGAUUACGGCUCCUCAGUGUGUUUAAAAUAAAAUCUCCUCCUGAGUGAAACACAAACCAUAAAAACAUCAUAUUUGUGUGGUUUUAUGUGUAAAACAGUGUAAAGAUUCAUUUUUAUGUCAUGUUUGAAAUACCAGGACACUUUAAAUCAUAAUCUGGUGGCCUCUGCCUGAAAGCUGAAGAUGGGUCAUCACUGGGUCUUUCAGCAAGAUAAUGACCCUAAACAUGUGGCCAAAUCUACACAAACAUGGUUCACCAGACACAAAAUCAAGCUCCUCCCAAGGCCAUCUCAGUCCCCAGACUUCAACCCAAUUGAAAACCUGUGGGGCGAGCUGAAGAGGAGGGUGCAUAGGAGAGGACCCAGGACUCUGGUAGAUUUAGUUUUAAAGUGUGGUAGAAGAUUAAGCGCUGUCUUGUUGGCAAAAGGGGGUUGUACAAAGUAUUAACAUCAGGGGUGCCAAUAAUUGUGGCACAGAUGAUUUCAUGUAAAAGAAAUUU
Long non-coding RNA from Pygocentrus nattereri (red-bellied piranha), 1323 nucleotides. RefSeq lists it as uncharacterized. The transcript has 4 exons. The record is from RefSeq and is a predicted model, not a curated record. Lineage: Eukaryota; Metazoa; Chordata; Actinopteri; Characiformes; Serrasalmidae.